Non-coding RNA from Microcebus murinus (gray mouse lemur), 588 nucleotides. The record is from RefSeq and is a predicted model, not a curated record. NCBI's taxonomy places the organism in Eukaryota, Metazoa, Chordata, Mammalia, Primates, Cheirogaleidae.
AGUGGUAGUAGAAUGAAAAGCAGGGAACAGAAGCCACGUGGUUUCCAAGCUACAAGAACAUGAAGAAUAGCUCAUUCAUCGCCAGUUACAAAAGGCAAUUAAUUCAACUUUCGGAUAUCUAGCCAGAAUGUUAUGCAGAUGGAUAGGAAUCACAAAUUCAUGAUUCAAACACAGGCCCAUCAGGCUUGGAAGUGCAGGCACAAGAGUCAGCCAGCAUGUCCUAUUAUUCACCCUUCCCUGGUUCUUGCCAGAGAGGUGAGAACUGGAGUUUGGGGCCAAGAAUUUCAAGUGAGAUAAGUGACUGACCCAUAAGUGAUACAAAGGACCUGCCCCUGGCCUCGAGGUGGAGACAACUCUGGUGGAAUCUGCUUGCAGAGCUUCCUGUGGGAUUGGACUCUUGCUAGCCUCCAGCUGACCCCACAUCCUUGCUUAGAUUUUUCUCCAUGCUCCAUCCUACUUCUCACACUUCUCUUCUCCAGAGAGCACUCCCUGUCAAUAAAUCACUUGAACAAAAAUUCGUAUCUCAGGUUCAGCUUCUAGGGAACCUGAAGUUAGAUACCCAGUGGCCUCAAAAAUGAUUUUCUAUAG